Aethalodelphis obliquidens (Pacific white-sided dolphin) is the source of this 2614-nucleotide long non-coding RNA. RefSeq lists it as uncharacterized. The transcript has 6 exons. Lineage: Eukaryota; Metazoa; Chordata; Mammalia; Artiodactyla; Delphinidae. The record is from RefSeq and is a predicted model, not a curated record.
CAAUGUGACCCUGCUCAAACACAGGGCCGGCAAGCCUCGUCUCGUGCUCCUGGAGGGGGGAGGGGGCUAUAAAAGCGACAUGUUCUCACAAGCAUGGCAGAGCCCAUGCAUAAACCAUUUGGCUUUGCAAUUAAAAACAGGUUUGGCUUCCCUCUGCAUCAAUAAGGCAACGUCAAAGCAACAUUCAUCCCGAAAAUGUUCCCUUGUGAAUUCAAAUGAACUGAUGCAUUAAACUAUUAGAUCCCACGAUGUUGGGAGAAAUAACUGCUUUGCAGCUAAAAUCCUUCCCCUCACCGUACAAUGAAGAGCUUAGAAGGAUCCUAUGAAAGUCAAUCCCAGCUGCAGUGAAAUCAUCCAAUUUCUACAAGGAGCUCCUUGGCAUUUUCUUAGAAUCCAUCCCAAUGCAGUGAAUUUAAUAUGUCAUAAAGAUGUGAACCUAAGAAGACUAUGUCUUUGUGCAGCUAUCCGGGUAGACAUGCAAGAAUACAACUUCUAAAGGGAUCCUGGCUGAUACAGAAUGUCAGAUGGUGAUAGUAUGAUGGAGAAAAAAAUAAUAGAGCAGAGAAAGGGGACAGGAAGUGCUGAGGAAUCUCUCCACAGCACAAUGGUGUGCUUUCCACAUCAAUAAUCACAAGUAUUAAGUUGACGGAGGCAGAUAACCAGGGAUGUACACCACCAAGAAUGCCCAUUUCUCAGGGCACCAUUACAUGGUGUAUCGUGGCCAGAGCGCUGGAUCUGAAAGCAAAGGCCUGAGUCUUAUCCCAUCUCUGUCUGCGGUGAGAGCAAGUUCCAUCCUACCGGUGCGUAUCCACGUCCCCAUCCAAGAAAGGAGACAGUUGGAUUGUAUUCAUAGGUGUUAAACUGUGCACCUCAGAAGUGUUAUUAAGUGUUUCUUGAAAGACUUGUGCGGUCAAAUAAUCUGGGGGUAUCACUGAAUUUCACACGCACACACAGAGCACAUUCUUAGAGAUUUGCAAUAUGCGUUCACGUAUCAAAUGCCUCCUUGAGACGCUCUGAAAAACGUUUACAACAAAUAAAUCGAUUUAGUAAUGUUUCCCAAACAUAUUUCCCCAAGAACACUAUGUGUGUUCAAAUAGUUCAGGUAGCGCUGGACAAAAGUUUUCAAAGGGCCUUCCAACUACCAUCAGGCCCGCCCACGUCAGGUUAGCCAGGCUCGUUACUGGCGUCAGAGGCUAGUGGCUAAAUCUGGGGCCUAAGAAACAGACGACCUGGGCUCAGACCCAUAGCUUCUCUGCUUCCUUGCUUUGUGACCUCAGUUCUGUUAUUUAACUUCUCUGUACUUGGUUCCUUCACUGUAAAACUGAGAUAAUAAUAUCAUCUGUUUCUUAGGGUCGUUAUGAGGAUUGAAUGAGUUAACAAAAUAUAUCAAACUCUUAGCAGAUUACCUAAGCCCUCGUAAGUGCUAUAGACGUGUUAGCCUUAUUGUUCAAUAUCAUAAACCCUUGUCAGAUGCAAUGAUCUAAGAGAAGGAAGAUUAGGUGAAGGAAAUUGAUGUUUACAGAGCAUCUACUGUACGUCCGUGAUGUACAUACGUAAUCUCAUAAACCGUCAUAAUAAAACUGAGAUCAAAAUAUAAUUAUUUCAUUUUACAGUGAGUAAAAUAAAACUCUGAGACGCUAAGGAAUUUGCCUUUUAUUACCCAGAUAUUAAGAUGAAAAAUUAACCCCCAAAUUCAGGUAUCCCUGACUUCAAAACUCAAGUUCUUUCCACCACAUUAUACUGCUAUAAAGGGUGAAAAGGAAUAAACUUUCCAUCAUUUAAUAGAUGAAGAAAUAAGGUAGACAAACUAAAAUAGAUCCUAGGAUCAUGAGGUAAGAUUCAAAUUGAAAAGCUAUCCAUAUUCUGUCAACCAGCCCUAUAACGUAUUCAUUACUGGACCCUAAAAGUAGAAGGAACUGUGAAAAGGAAAGAAGGAACUAUCUCUAAUUUUGAUCUGGUUACAAUUUUUUUAAUUAAGGAUACUUUAUCUCUUAAUUCAGUACCUACUGUAUGGAUUAUGUCCCAUUUUAGCAGAGAUUUGGCUCUCCCCUACCUAACUCAGAUUAUGUUUUUAGAGACGCAUAGGUUUGAAGUAGACAUUUAAAGGUCAAAUUAAUUCUACUGCCUCCAGAAAGGAUUGGAUCAAAAUAAUUCUCAAACGAUAAUCCUUCACCCUAUUCUACUUUUACAUAUUCAGAGAGGAAAAUUCCGUGACUUUGAUUUUAAAAAAUCAAAUAUUAAUAAUAUAUUUAAAAUUUCAUAACAUGCAAAGACCUUUGAGACAUUUGUGAAAAUAAAAACACAUUCAUCAAAAAUAAUGAGAAAAAUAAAAUAAGAAGAUGAAUUGAUUUUCCUUGAUGGAGUACAGUAUUGCGCAUUAAGAACUGAAAUUCAGGACGCAGGGCUUGGGGAAGUAAUUUAUUGGAUAUUAAUCUUCCCUUUUCGCCAGCAAGGCACAACUUUACUUAGAUAUGUCUGUUGCAUCCAAAGUUUUAAAAUAUGGGUCAAGAAUAUAGCUGUGCCACGUAUCCCAGACUGCUAUUCUGCUUGGUUCAUCUAAUCACUAAAACUGGUUUUUUUAUAGCAAUGUCAAAGAUGAUAGAGCUUAGGGACU